UACGUAGGCAGCAGCGUUGUUCGGAUUACGUGGCGUAAAAGGGGUGUGUAGGCGGUUCUUUAAGUUUGGUGUGAAAUCUCCGGCUCAACCGGAGGUGCGCGAAUACUGAGGAACUUAGAGUACGGGAGAGGAAGUGGAAUUCCGAUGUAGCGGUGAAAUGACGUAGAUAUCGGGAGGAACACCGGUGGCGAAGGCGGCGACCUGGGUAGACUAGUGACGCUGAGGCGGACGAAAACGGUGGGGAGCCAAAGCAGG
RNAcentral lists this ribosomal RNA (255 nucleotides) under uncultured bacterium. RNAcentral's name for it is "partial 16S ribosomal RNA". It matches the Rfam family "Bacterial small subunit ribosomal RNA", at positions 524 to 776 of the family's 1533-position model. The record is from RNAcentral.